GGAUGCGCGACUCUCGCGCGUCCCCUGAUGUUUUUCCCGCAUAGCGCAUCCCCUGAUAUGCUGUUUUCCCGCACGGCUCGCGUGGCCUGGCGCCCGCGGCGUGGUACAGGCGCAGUCCGAGAGAUGGCGCUAGUGUUGCGCGGCUGCGGGGUUACCCUCGGCGGGAGAGACAAGGCGCGCUCUCUUGGGUUGGAGACAGCAAGCAGCACGGACGUGCCGUGCCGCGGGUGGAGCGACCCUCUUUCCCGGCGGGUCGGCGAACAGCGCCGGACGUACUGCGCGCGCGCGCCAAUCCAUGGUUCGGCGAGACCGUCUCGCGUCGCCGCCUUGGACACCGUUGGCGUGACUGUACACGCGAACGACCAGGCGUUGGGAUCCAGCAUGGGGCGAACAUAUUCGCUCGCUUUGCGGUCGUGGUGAGUCGGACUUCUAGAUUUGUCGCGCGCCCAUCGGCAUGUUUUGGGGAUAGCAACUCGGCUAGCAGGCAUUGAUCUAUGAAAGGUGCAAUAAAUGCCCUUGUGACUGUUUGCA
Molecule: long non-coding RNA, 531 nt
Organism: Dermacentor andersoni
Lineage: Eukaryota; Metazoa; Arthropoda; Arachnida; Ixodida; Ixodidae
Source: RefSeq, a predicted model, not a curated record